UGUUCUCGGAGUGUGCCGGAUUCGCACACGAGCCCGCGAAGCUCGAAGACCGGGUUCGACUCCUGGCGAGAACAU
RNAcentral lists this transfer RNA (75 nucleotides) under Thalassoglobus neptunius. RNAcentral's name for it is "Planctomycetes bacterium KOR42 tRNA-Arg". Lineage: Bacteria; Pseudomonadati; Planctomycetota; Planctomycetia; Planctomycetales; Planctomycetaceae. The record is from RNAcentral.